RNAcentral lists this transfer RNA (80 nucleotides) under Scolopendra dehaani. Its description in RNAcentral is "tRNA-Ala". Lineage: Eukaryota; Metazoa; Arthropoda; Chilopoda; Scolopendromorpha; Scolopendridae. The record is from RNAcentral.
AGAACAAUAUUUAAUAUAUAAAACUUGAAUUGCAAACAAGAAUACAAAAAUAAGCACUUAAAGCAUUCAGUUUCGACCUA